UAGGAGAAUCCGAUGACGAUGGGUAGCUUGACAAUAUCUUGCGCCACACACUCACACAGUGUGCUGUGCUGCUUGCAAACUGUACAGCUGCUAUCGGGCAAAAGGGAAUCCGGUUCCUAUUCCGGAACCUGGCUGCGUAACCGCAUCUUUGCGGGCACUUGCUUGCGAGCGCUCGUCGGGGUAACCCAAACUGGCCUGGAGACGCCGGCGGGGGGUCUGGAAAGAGUUUUCUUUUCUUUAUAAGCGUUCGAGUACCCUGGAAUCCUAUAGCAGGGAGAUAGGGUUUGGAACGCGAAGAGCACCGCAGUUGCGGCGGUGUCCGGACCUUCCCCCCGGACCUUGAAAAUCCAGGUGAGGGCCACGCGGAAGUCGCGCCAGAUCGUACCCAUAUCCGCAGCAGGUCUCCAAGGUUAAGAGCCUCUAGUCGAUAGAAUAAUGUAGGUAAGGGAAGUCGGCAAAUUGGAUCCGUAACUUCGGGACAAGGAUUGGCUCUGAGGAUCGGGGUGUGUCGGGCUAGGUCGGGAUGUGGGUCAGCGCCAACGAGCCUGGCCUGAGCACGAGGAAUGGAGAGCAUUUCGGUGCGAUCCAGGAUCCGAGCUCGGUCCUGCGCCUUGGCCUCCCACGGAUCGGCCUUGCUGCGGGGGUCUGUUGACAGUUGCACACGGACUUGUCUGUGUGUUAACCAGCAGAAUUCACCUUCGGCCACCAUUUAACGGUCAACUCAGAACUGGCACGGACCGGGAGAAUCCGACUGUCUAAUUAAAGCAAAGCAUUGCGAUGGCUCUAGCUGAGUGUUUACGCAAUGUGAUUUCUGCCCAGUGCUCUGAAUGUCAACGUGAAGAAAUUCAAGCAAGCGCGGGUAAACGGCGGGAGUAACUAUGACUCUCUUAAGGUAGCCAAAUGCCUCGUCAUCUAAUUAGUGACGCGCAUGAAUGGAUUAACGAGAUUCUCACUGUCCCUAUCUACUAUCUAGCGAAACCACUGCCAAGGGAACGGGCUUGGAAAAAUCAGCGGGGAAAGAAGACCCUGUUGAGCUUGACUCUAGUCUGGCACUGUAAGGAGACAUGAGAGGUGUAGAAUAAGUGGGAGACGGUGGGCUUCGGCUUUGCCGUUCGACUGUGAAAUACCACUACUUUCAUCGUUUCCUUACUUACUCGGAUGGGCGGAGAGCGUGCCUGUCGUUGUUUCACUCCGGCAGGCCGGUGUUCUUGCGCCAAGCGUCUGAGGGUUGUCAGCAUGUGACGUGCCUGGUCCAGUGCCGGCGGUAGAUGUCACCUCGACCUUGACCGUUGCCCGGUACGGGCCAGAACACGCUCGCCUCUGACUGGCAAUCACUCCCUCGCGUGUUCCGAUUCGAGGACACAGCCAGGCG
This 1372-nucleotide ribosomal RNA is filed under the name Nilaparvata lugens (brown planthopper). RNAcentral's name for it is "eukaryotic LSU rRNA". It matches the Rfam family "Eukaryotic large subunit ribosomal RNA", at positions 1553 to 2614 of the family's 3401-position model. Lineage: Eukaryota; Metazoa; Arthropoda; Insecta; Hemiptera; Delphacidae. The record is from RNAcentral.